GAUGAGAAGAAGGUUGGCGGUGCUGGAACUAACCUAUUUCACUCUGAGGGACCUGAGGGACAAAAGCAGGAGACGCCUACGGCUCGAGAAGGCGCUCACUGAAACAGGGCUCUCGAAGAGAAGGCAGAUGCUGGUGAGAACUCAGGAACGGAGUGGGACACCUAAAGGUGGGAGGACGGGUUUAAAUAGACCCUGGGAUCCGGUGCCAUAAUGAUCGUGAAUCCCCCCAGGCCGGUCCGCAUCCGACACGUGUCCCACUCCCCCUGGC
Molecule: long non-coding RNA, 268 nt
Filed under: Elaeis guineensis (African oil palm)
Lineage: Eukaryota; Viridiplantae; Streptophyta; Magnoliopsida; Arecales; Arecaceae
Description: long non-coding RNA (EGUI_LNC065583)
Source: RNAcentral